This is a non-coding RNA of Otolemur garnettii (small-eared galago), 339 nucleotides long. NCBI's taxonomy places the organism in Eukaryota, Metazoa, Chordata, Mammalia, Primates, Galagidae. The record is from Rfam.
GCCAGGCGCUGUGGUGGGUGCCUGUGGUCCCAGCUACUUAGGAGGCAGAGGCGAGAGACUGGCUUGAGCCCAGGAGAUGGAGGUUGCUGUGAGCUGUGAUGCCAUGGCACUCUACCCAGGGGGACAGCUUGAGGCUCUGUCUCAAAAAAAAAAAAAAAAAAAAGAAAUGAAGAGUAUCAGAGAAGGAAUAAUAAAAAUAAAAUAAAAUUUUUGUGUUUUGUUAUUCUUCUUUUUUUUUUUUUAGACGGAGCCUCAAGCUAUCCCCCUGGGUAGAGUGCCAUGGCAUCACAGCUCACAGCAACCUCCAACUCCUGGGCUCAAGCCAGUCUCCUGCCUCAG